CAAAAACCAAGAAAAAAACACACCAGCAGGAAUCCUUCACCUUGGUUUGUAUUUUGCUCCUUCAGCCUUGAGACUUCACAGUGCAGGACUCGUAACUCUUCCAGUAAUUCUCCAAGCCUGGGAUCACUAACGGGAACUCUGUCAAGGCUAGCCAGCGUUUCUCUUUGCUCGUUAAGCCGCAGCUGCACUCUUUCGAGUUGCUU
This 203-nucleotide long non-coding RNA is filed under the name Eutrema salsugineum. Its description in RNAcentral is "long non-coding RNA (ESAL_LNC001907)". The record is from RNAcentral. Lineage: Eukaryota; Viridiplantae; Streptophyta; Magnoliopsida; Brassicales; Brassicaceae.